RNAcentral lists this long non-coding RNA (451 nucleotides) under Actinidia chinensis (golden kiwifruit). Its description in RNAcentral is "long non-coding RNA (ACHI_LNC007947)". Lineage: Eukaryota; Viridiplantae; Streptophyta; Magnoliopsida; Ericales; Actinidiaceae. The record is from RNAcentral.
AAGGUGUUGUUCCGGACACCCCGACCGGCCCAAACCACCCGGCCCCACAGAUUGGUUUGAGUGUUAAAUCAGGUACUCAGCGGCUCCAUGGAAGGGAGGAACAGUGCAUGGUGCCCACAAGGAACCCACCCAUAUUAAGUGGAAUUCCCACACUGCGGCUGCCAUGGCUCGAUCCUGUUCCUGCAGAGUCCCAAACAUUUUUGAUAGCUUCUUGUAUGCAAAAAGGUGUUGUUCCGGACACCCCGACCGGCCCAAACCACCCGGCCCCACAGAUUGGUUUGAAUGUUAAAUCAGGUACUCAGCGGCUCCAUGGAAGGGAGGAACAGUGCAUGGUGCCCACAAGGAACCCACCCAUAUUAAGUGGAAUUCCCACACUGCGGCUGCCAUGGCUCGAUCCUGCACCCUUGUAUGCAAUCUGCCCCCCACUUUACCAACUGAGCUAGCCCUAGGG